Molecule: long non-coding RNA, 1281 nt
Filed under: Oryzias javanicus (javanese ricefish)
Lineage: Eukaryota; Metazoa; Chordata; Actinopteri; Beloniformes; Adrianichthyidae
Description: lncRNA (ENSOJAG00000001733.1)
Source: RNAcentral
AUGGGGAGACGAGCGGCUGACCUGACCACUCCGGUUUCCGUUUUGUGCUUCCCCGCCCUGGUUGGGGUGCGCGGCUGGAAAACAACAGGAGACAAAAGUCUGCUGCAGACCUGGGGGCUUCAAUGCAGUGUCGGAGUUCAGACAUCUCCAGGGAUAAGCAAACCACUCACCCAUUUAUCUGAAAUCCUCUCAGACGACGUUAGUCAAACAUUCAACAUCACCAGGGAAACAAGAAGCACCAAUGAGAACAAGGCUAUCUUAAAACAGAAAGCUGUGGACACCAAGAUCAGAAAAGAAGUGACUUUCAGAUCACCUGGAGGUAAAGCCUCACAGGAUGUGCCCUGCUGUCACGGCAACACUGGUGGGACUUACUGCUAUGCCAGGGCAAUUAGGAGCAAUCCCAUCAUUGGAGGGACUGGGACCAGAGACAGGCCUAAAGUGAAGUCUGCUGUUCGGUAUAUCAAUGGCAGUGUGGUUGAUUCAGAGGCAAUCGGUGGAAUUAUCGAGGAAAACAAUGAAACAGAUUCAGGAGAGAGAGCAAGGCUUCAUGGAAAAGACUUGCAAGAUCAUUCUGGGAAGUCGCUGGUAUCUGUUGGACGACCUUUCGCACUGCCACAAAAAAUACACAAUGACUUUGGAGGGAGGCAGUCUGAGAUGGCCAGAGUUGCCAUUCCUGGGGUGAGUGGCCCUACUCCUGAUGCUUCUGAUGCAUUAAAGUGUCCCCUAACCUCAUUCACUAGCACUGCAAUGUACCAGGACCCUCAAAUAGAAAAAAAACUCAACACAAACUCGCAAUUUUCUUUGAAAACCAGCAACAUGUCACAGGCUACAGUCAAUCAAGAGCUAAAACUCAGUAAAACUCCUCACCCUGCAUGUCCUGUGCACUCUAAAGGGAAUCUAGCAAACCUUCCACAUGCCUCAGGUGUUCUAUCGUCCAUCCAACCAGCAAACGUCUUGCAUCCCAGAGCCAUCACAGUCACAAAAGCUACAAUAGAAAGUAGACAGGACGAUUCCGGCAUUAAAAGCUCUGCUAAACCACCAGAGGAUCAUGGGAUCUCUCGCCGAACGAGUACUACCUUGACUCCUCAGGGAACCACCUCAGCCAAACCAAAUGACCCCCAUACUUCUGCCAAGGUUCUCAAAACAACAAACUGUAACUCUAGUCAAGACCAUCAAAGUAUCAGGAUUUCUGCUAAGGUCAUUGAAAAAGAAACAACGCGUAAAGCGCAACAAAUCAACCUAAGAGCCAACAAGUGGCCUCAAAAUCAACCAAUACAAUAG